GGGUUGUGAGGUUAAGCGACUAAGCGUACACGGUGGAUGCCCUGGCAGUCAGAGGCGAUGAAGGACGUGCUAAUCUGCGAUAAGCGUCGGUAAGGUGAUAUGAACCGUUAUAACCGGCGAUUUCCGAAUGGGGAAACCCAGUGUGUUUCGACACACUAUCAUUAACUGAAUCCAUAGGUUAAUGAGGCGAACCGGGGGAACUGAAACAUCUAAGUACCCCGAGGAAAAGAAAUCAACCGAGAUUCCCCCAGUAGCGGCGAGCGAACGGGGAGCAGCCCAGAGCCUGAAUCAGUGUGUGUGUUAGUGGAAGCGUCUGGAAAGGCGCGCGAUACAGGGUGACAGCCCCGUACACAAAAAUGCACAUGCUGUGAGCUCGAUGAGUAGGGCGGGACACGUGGUAUCCUGUCUGAAUAUGGGGGGACCAUCCUCCAAGGCUAAAUACUCCUGACUGACCGAUAGUGAACCAGUACCGUGAGGGAAAGGCGAAAAGAACCCCGGCGAGGGGAGUGAAAAAGAACCUGAAACCGUGUACGUACAAGCAGUGGGAGCACGCUUAGGCGUGUGACUGCGUACCUUUUGUAUAAUGGGUCAGCGACUUAUAUUCUGUAGCAAGGUUAACCGAAUAGGGGAGCCGAAGGGAAACCGAGUCUUAACUGGGCGUUAAGUUGCAGGGUAUAGACCCGAAACCCGGUGAUCUAGCCAUGGGCAGGUUGAAGGUUGGGUAACACUAACUGGAGGACCGAACCGACUAAUGUUGAAAAAUUAGCGGAUGACUUGUGGCUGGGGGUGAAAGGCCAAUCAAACCGGGAGAUAGCUGGUUCUCCCCGAAAGCUAUUUAGGUAGCGCCUCGUGAAUUCAUCUCCGGGGGUAGAGCACUGUUUCGGCAAGGGGGUCAUCCCGACUUACCAACCCGAUGCAAACUGCGAAUACCGGAGAAUGUUAUCACGGGAGACACACGGCGGGUGCUAACGUCCGUCGUGAAGAGGGAAACAACCCAGACCGCCAGCUAAGGUCCCAAAGUCAUGGUUAAGUGGGAAACGAUGUGGGAAGGCCCAGACAGCCAGGAUGUUGGCUUAGAAGCAGCCAUCAUUUAAAGAAAGCGUAAUAGCUCACUGGUCGAGUCGGCCUGCGCGGAAGAUGUAACGGGGCUAAACCAUGCACCGAAGCUGCGGCAGCGACACUAUGUGUUGUUGGGUAGGGGAGCGUUCUGUAAGCCUGUGAAGGUGUGCUGUGAGGCAUGCUGGAGGUAUCAGAAGUGCGAAUGCUGACAUAAGUAACGAUAAAGCGGGUGAAAAGCCCGCUCGCCGGAAGACCAAGGGUUCCUGUCCAACGUUAAUCGGGGCAGGGUGAGUCGACCCCUAAGGCGAGGCCGAAAGGCGUAGUCGAUGGGAAACAGGUUAAUAUUCCUGUACUUGGUGUUACUGCGAAGGGGGGACGGAGAAGGCUAUGUUGGCCGGGCGACGGUUGUCCCGGUUUAAGCGUGUAGGCUGGUUUUCCAGGCAAAUCCGGAAAAUCAAGGCUGAGGCGUGAUGACGAGGCACUACGGUGCUGAAGCAACAAAUGCCCUGCUUCCAGGAAAAGCCUCUAAGCAUCAGGUAACAUCAAAUCGUACCCCAAACCGACACAGGUGGUCAGGUAGAGAAUACCAAGGCGCUUGAGAGAACUCGGGUGAAGGAACUAGGCAAAAUGGUGCCGUAACUUCGGGAGAAGGCACGCUGAUAUGUAGGUGAAGUCCCUCGCGGAUGGAGCUGAAAUCAGUCGAAGAUACCAGCUGGCUGCAACUGUUUAUUAAAAACACAGCACUGUGCAAACACGAAAGUGGACGUAUACGGUGUGACGCCUGCCCGGUGCCGGAAGGUUAAUUGAUGGGGUUAGCCGCAAGGCGAAGCUCUUGAUCGAAGCCCCGGUAAACGGCGGCCGUAACUAUAACGGUCCUAAGGUAGCGAAAUUCCUUGUCGGGUAAGUUCCGACCUGCACGAAUGGCGUAAUGAUGGCCAGGCUGUCUCCACCCGAGACUCAGUGAAAUUGAACUCGCUGUGAAGAUGCAGUGUACCCGCGGCAAGACGGAAAGACCCCGUGAACCUUUACUAUAGCUUGACACUGAACAUUGAGCCUUGAUGUGUAGGAUAGGUGGGAGGCUUAGAAGUGUGGACGCCAGUCUGCAUGGAGCCGACCUUGAAAUACCACCCUUUAAUGUUUGAUGUUCUAACGUUGACCCGUAAUCCGGGUUGCGGACAGUGUCUGGUGGGUAGUUUGACUGGGGCGGUCUCCUCCUAAAGAGUAACGGAGGAGCACGAAGGUUGGCUAAUCCUGGUCGGACAUCAGGAGGUUAGUGCAAUGGCAUAAGCCAGCUUGACUGCGAGCGUGACGGCGCGAGCAGGUGCGAAAGCAGGUCAUAGUGAUCCGGUGGUUCUGAAUGGAAGGGCCAUCGCUCAACGGAUAAAAGGUACUCCGGGGAUAACAGGCUGAUACCGCCCAAGAGUUCAUAUCGACGGCGGUGUUUGGCACCUCGAUGUCGGCUCAUCACAUCCUGGGGCUGAAGUAGGUCCCAAGGGUAUGGCUGUUCGCCAUUUAAAGUGGUACGCGAGCUGGGUUUAGAACGUCGUGAGACAGUUCGGUCCCUAUCUGCCGUGGGCGCUGGAGAACUGAGGGGGGCUGCUCCUAGUACGAGAGGACCGGAGUGGACGCAUCACUGGUGUUCGGGUUGUCAUGCCAAUGGCACUGCCCGGUAGCUAAAUGCGGAAGAGAUAAGUGCUGAAAGCAUCUAAGCACGAAACUUGCCCCGAGAUGAGUUCUCCCUGACUCCUUGAGAGUCCUGAAGGAACGUUGAAGACGACGACGUUGAUAGGCCGGGUGUGUAAGCGCAGCGAUGCGUUGAGCUAACCGGUACUAAUGAACCGUGAGGCUUAACCUUACAACGCCGAAGGUGUUU
RNAcentral lists this ribosomal RNA (2932 nucleotides) under Escherichia coli. RNAcentral describes it as "bacterial LSU rRNA". It matches the Rfam family "Bacterial large subunit ribosomal RNA". Lineage: Bacteria; Pseudomonadati; Pseudomonadota; Gammaproteobacteria; Enterobacterales; Enterobacteriaceae. The record is from RNAcentral. RNAcentral also lists the same sequence under 1 other name.